AGUGAACGCUGGCGGCAGGCCUAACACAUACAAGUCGAACGGCAGCACAGUAAGAGCUUGUUCUUACGGGUGGCGAGUGGCGGACGGGUGAGGAAUACAUCGGAAUCUACUUUUUCGUGGGGGAUAACGUAGGGAAACUUACGCUAAUACCGCAUACGACCUACGGGUGAAAGCAGGGGAUCUUCGGACCUUGCGCGAUUGAAUGAGCCGAUGUCGGAUUAGCUAGUUGGCGGGGUAAAGGCCCACCAAGGCGACGAUCCGUAGCUGGUCUGAGAGGAUGAUCAGCCACACUGGAACUGAGACACGGUCCAGACUCCUACGGGAGGCAGCAGUGGGGAAUAUUGGACAAUGGGCGCAAGCCUGAUCCAGCCAUACCGCGUGAGUGAAGAAGGCCUUCGGGUUGUAAAGCCCUUUUGUUGGGAAAGAAAAGCAGCAGGUUAAUACCCCGCUGUUCUGACGGUACCCAAAGAAUAAGCACCGGCUAACUUCGUG
Molecule: ribosomal RNA, 492 nt
Filed under: uncultured bacterium
Lineage: Bacteria
Description: partial 16S ribosomal RNA
Rfam family: Bacterial small subunit ribosomal RNA
Source: RNAcentral